AAGCAGGAAAUGUGUGUAGCCGUGAAACCGGAAGCGGGAAGCGCGUGCGAUCAUGGAAGACUCACGGGGCGUUGUGCCGGCUCUGCCCAAACAUUCCUACUGGUUUGAUUUCUGGAUGUUUCUGCUGUUCGAUGUCUUUCUUUUCCUCAUCAUUUACUUCGUCAUUCCCUGAGCGCGGUCAGUGUCCUGUCCGGUUCACCGUGAGUGCCUGAUCCUCAGAUGCUAUGGACGGGACGGCAGCGGCAGCUGGACUCAGAUCGGGAGGACUGGCUCUCGUCCUGAACUCUAAAUACAUUUCCUGCUUUACUCACGUCCUGCUUCUCUACAGAAAUGCAUUUAAUGACCUAAAAUCUAAAACUGUCCCUUCAUGCUUCCACUGUGAGGAAUCACUCAAAAUGAAGAGAUACGUGUUCAUCUGUCUGGAUGCUUUAUACACAUUAUCCUGUAAAUUACGACUGAAUGAUAGCCAUUAAAGUGUGUGUUGGAUGCAUGUAUGUAUGAUAAAUUUAAUAAUUAAAUUGGUGUGACAUUAAAUAUAUUUUGGAGUUCUUUAAAAUGAAAACAGAGUAAAACAGACCAGAACAACGUUGAAAGAAAUUAUUAAACUUAAACUUGCUGAAUUAAAUUUUCACAGAAUGACUACUG
Molecule: long non-coding RNA, 645 nt
Organism: Labeo rohita (rohu)
Lineage: Eukaryota; Metazoa; Chordata; Actinopteri; Cypriniformes; Cyprinidae
Exons: 3
Source: RefSeq, a predicted model, not a curated record